RNAcentral lists this ribosomal RNA (490 nucleotides) under uncultured bacterium. RNAcentral's name for it is "partial 16S ribosomal RNA". It matches the Rfam family "Bacterial small subunit ribosomal RNA", at positions 30 to 507 of the family's 1533-position model. The record is from RNAcentral.
AUUGAACGCUGGCGGCAGGCCUAACACAUGCAAGUCGAACGGUAACAGGAAACAGCUUGCUGUUUCGCUGACGAGUGGCGGACGGGUGAGAAAUGUCUGGGAAACUGCCUGAUGGAGGGGGAUAACUACUGGAAACGGUAGCUAAUACCGCAUAACGUCGCAAGACCAAAGAGGGGGACCCUCGGGCCUCUUGCCAUCGGAUGUGCCCAGAUGGGAUUAGCUUGUUGGUGGGGUAACGGCUCACCAAGGCGACGAUCCCUAGCUGGUCUGAGAGGAUGACCAGCCACACUGGAACUGAGACACGGUCCAGACUCCUACGGGAGGCAGCAGUGGGGAAUAUUGCACAAUGGGCGCAAGCCUGAUGCAGCCAUGCCGCGUGUAUGAAGAAGGCCUUCGGGUUGUAAAGUACUUUCAGCGGGGAGGAAGGGAGUAAAGUUAAUACCUGUGCUCAUUGACGUUACCCGCAGAAGAAGCACCGGCUAACUCCGUG